This 337-nucleotide unclassified non-coding RNA is filed under the name soil metagenome. RNAcentral describes it as "partial contains 5.8S ribosomal RNA, internal transcribed spacer 2, and large subunit ribosomal RNA". The stretch from base 1 to 120 matches the Rfam family "5.8S ribosomal RNA", at positions 35 to 154 of the family's 154-position model. The record is from RNAcentral.
GAUGAAGAACGUAGCGAAAUGCGAUAAGUAGUGUGAAUUGCAGAAUUCAGUGAAUCAUCGAAUCUUUGAACGCACAUUGCGCCCCUUGGUAUUCCAUGGGGCAUGCCUGUUCGAGCGUCAUUUGUACCUUCAAGCUUUGCUUGGUGUUGGGUGUUUGUCUCGCCUCCGCGUGUAGACUCGCCUCAAAACAAUUGGCAGCCGGCGUAUUGAUUUCGGAGCGCAGUUCAUCUCGCGCUUUGCACUCACAACGACGACGUCCAAAAGUACAUUUUUACACUCUUGACCUCGGAUCAGGUAGGGAUACCCGCUGAACUUAAGCAUAUCAAUAAGCGGAGGA